AAUUUUUCUAUUUUGGUAUUUCAAGAGCCCACUGUUGCUUAGUUACCUAUGCACAUGCGCGAUAGCUCUUGAACUCUUGAACUGCAGCUCUCCCGGGUCCACUGU
This is a long non-coding RNA of Etheostoma cragini (Arkansas darter), 105 nucleotides long. RefSeq lists it as uncharacterized. The record is from RefSeq and is a predicted model, not a curated record. The transcript is spliced from 3 exons. NCBI's taxonomy places the organism in Eukaryota, Metazoa, Chordata, Actinopteri, Perciformes, Percidae.